This is a non-coding RNA of Lenzites betulinus, 82 nucleotides long. NCBI's taxonomy places the organism in Eukaryota, Fungi, Basidiomycota, Agaricomycetes, Polyporales, Polyporaceae. The record is from the annotation of a GenBank genome assembly.
ACACUGAUGGUGAAACGGUAUCAUGCUUGCCUUCCACUAUCGUCAGUAGCAAGCGGCGUGGGUUCGACUCCCGCUCAGUGUA